UAGAAAGUGAUUAAACAAGGCCCGAGUUUUCUGUCAGGCUCAGUAGAGCCGAAGACAUUGAAAGGAAACAUCCCCCGACUGAGUCGUUUAUCGUUAAUAGUGAUGGAUAUAAUUGUCAACGCGUGUUAUUAUAAUAUAUUCUUUUUAUUAUUAUUCUUUAGACUGUUAGACGGUCAUUCGACUUUAAUUAUAGGUCAAGAUGUGCAAUGCGAAAAAGAAGGGGAAGAAGUUAAAGUUAAAAGUAUUUCUGAUAAUCCUUGCUUUACUUGCAAGUGUCAAAAAGGAGUCGUCGUAUGCGAACAGCAAAUAUGUCCCUAUGCCAAGGGGUGCUACUUUUUAGCAUUUGGAGAGAGCCGGUCCUGUUGCGACGUUUGUUUAAGUUGUAACCACGAAGGCGUAUCUCACAAUAGUGGAUCGGAGUGGAUAAGUUCGAAAAAUUCGUGUUUAACUUAUUCGUGUCAGUCUGGUAUCAUAACUGAAUCUACCAUACAUUGUCAAACAUCGUGUCGUCACCCCAUUCCUCCAGAACCUAACGAAUGUUGCCCGAGAUGCCAGGGUUGUCAAAUUAAUGGAAUAAAUUACACAGACGGUCAAACAGUUCCUUCUGAUUCUUCAGAUCCUUGUCUUACAUGUAGCUGUCAGAAAGGAAAUGUUGUUUGUAAGAAAAAGGCCUGUCCAGUUUUGCCUUGUCCGCAGACCAAGUUCGUCCAUAAACCUAACUCUUGUUGUCCGGAAUGCCGAGGCGCUCGAAAGAUUUCCGAUUUUAAAGAUAAAUGUUUAAUCGGUUUGGACAUCCAUAAAAAUGGAGACUCUUUCGUUUAUGAUCAAUGUACUCAGUGUUCCUGUAAUACGUCGACGACUUUUUGUAAGCGUCAAGUAUGUCCACCAUUGGAAUGUCCUCCUUCUUAUCAGAUAAAAGAACCGGAGCAAUGUUGUCCCUAUUGUCAACGCCCGGAAGAGAGAAAGACCGUUUGUAGGUCAGGUGGUCAAAUAUAUCAGAACGGACAACACUGGCAAAAUGGUUGUUCUAACUGUUACUGCCUUCAAGGGAAAGUCAGAUGUUCUGUUGAGUUUUGUAAAACUUCUAAUAAAUGUCCCGCUGGCCAGAAAUUAGUCCAUUUACCUAAAAAAUGUUGUCCAGUUUGCGUCGAAGACGAUGGUGUAUGUACGGUGUUCGGAGAUCCGCAUUACAGAACAUUCGAUGGGAGGACAUUUAAUUUUCAAGGAACGUGCAAAUAUACUUUGAUCAACGAUUGUGCUCAUAAAAGAUUUACAGUUCAAGUAGCGAACGAAGCCAGAUAUUCUAAGAUGUUUUCGUGGACAAAAUCUAUAAUUUUGAAGAUAGACGAUACUAAAUUAGUAUUGGGACAAUAUAGAAAUAUCAAAAUUGGAAAGAAGCGUGUCAGACUCCCUUAUAUUAAGCUAGGAACUUUAUCGGUUGUAGAACAAAAUUAUACAGUUACCGUCAGAACUAAUUUAGGAAUUCGUUUAAAUUGGGAUGGAAAUAGUUAUUUAGAAGUGUUCGUGCCUUCUCACUUUAAAAAUCAGUUGUGCGGAUUGUGUGGUAAUUAUAACGAUAAUCCGGAAGAUGAUUUCACUACGAAGAAAGGAAAACUGGUUUCUAGCCCGGAAGUUUUUGGAAAUUCGUGGGCGGUCGGUCGAGGAAAGAAAUGCUUAAUAUCGAAAUCUCUGCAGACCACGCAUGCCGCUUGUGAAAGUAACUUAAACACAAAGGUUAAAGCCAUUUACGAAUGCAACGUUUUAAAAUCAGAUCUGUUCCGUCCCUGCCAUAGUACAGUGAAUGCCAUGCCUUACUAUAGAUCGUGUGUGAUGGACAUGUGCGAAUGCCCGAUUGGCAGGAAGUGCCAUUGCGAGUCACUUUUCGCCUACGCUCAGCAUUGUAAACGAUUAGGAAUACAGUUAAAUUGGAGAAAGGAUUCUGGAUGCGAAGGAAGCCAUUGUCCAAAAGGAUCGGUGUAUAGAAGUUGUGUUUAUCCGUGUCGUAAAACCUGCAAAAACUAUCAACGAGCAAAGCCAUGCCGAAGAAAAUGUAGACCAGGUUGCGAAUGUGCAGAGGGUACAGUAUGGUAUAGAAAUAAAUGUAUUCCAACACAGCUGUGUCCAGUAUAACUAAAAGAAAAGAAUUUCCGUUUCAUUUCAUUUACCAGCAGGUCUGGUAUUUCAAUUUAUUUUAUAAGCAAUGUUUAUUUCAUCUGUUUUCUUUGGUGAGAAGUUCCUUUAUAUUGAGCGUGCCUGUGCCUUUAUUUUAUAAACUACUGCGAUAAAAAGGCUCUAAAUAAUGAAUUUUUAUUGAAAAAAAGGGCUGGUUCCUUCGAUUAAAAAGGAGAGACGAGAAGUACAAAAUGUAAAUUGUGAUAACCGAAGAGAUUCGUUAGAUUUUUGACAGAAAUGAACCUUAUUUGGUAUUAACACGCACACGAAAUGUUAAUAUAUAUUACUAUUCACAGUUAUGACGACUGAUAAGGCUUGAAUGAUGGUUCCAAGGUAUGAAGAUACCCAAGUAAAUUGCUUUUACUACAAAGUUGAAAUGAAUUAAUUCAUUAUAUUCAUAUAUACUUCAAACUCCAUUUUUGUCUUAAUUAAUAUGUGAAUGAACUUCAAGUUUCCAAUUACCAAGU
Molecule: unclassified non-coding RNA, 2639 nt
Filed under: Centruroides sculpturatus (bark scorpion)
Lineage: Eukaryota; Metazoa; Arthropoda; Arachnida; Scorpiones; Buthidae
Description: bMP-binding endothelial regulator protein-like, transcript variant X1
Source: RNAcentral